GUUUUCCUAAUUAGGUAUUGAGAAUUACCAUUGGUAUUUGGAAUUAGAUUGCGGAGCAUUUAGGAACCGUUCUCGCUAUGUUGCCCAGGCUGGUCUUGAACUCCUCAGCUGAAAUGAGCCUCCCACCUCGGCCUCCCAAAGUGCUGGGAUUACAGGCGUCCCCUCUGCCCCAGUACUGUUUCCUCUCCCCAGCCCAGCCCCCACAGCUGCCUGCCCUGGCCUCACUCCCUGGCCUCCCCCAUCCCAGCCUCUGGGUCCCUGAGUCAGUCCCUGGGGCUGUCUGCCUUCUAGGGGAGCCUCUGGUGUGGACCAGAAAGUAACCUAAUCCCUUCCAGGCCCACCCUGGAAACAAAGGGAUUUGUCCACUAGCCUGGUGGUGAGAACCAUGUGGCCUCCUGUCUCUGGCAGAGAGGACUCCAGGAUCAAGGGCAGGUAAAAGGAGGAGCCUCCUGGGGAGCUUCAGAAGGAGGGUCCCAAGUCCCUCCUGCCCCACUUCUGUGCCUGGGUCACUCACACCCCUGCCUGACUCUAGCCCCCCUUCUCCAGGGGUCUCCACAACAUGUGAAUCAUGCCCAGCGUCUUCCAUUACACCCUUGAUAAAGUCCUCUCCUCACCAGGACCUCUGUCAUUUUACCUCAUGGUUUUGAAAUAAUUUUUGGUCUUCUUAGCAGUUUAAAAAUAUUGUUUUGUUUUUUUUCCUGAGUUUGGAGCAUUCCUGUUACUAAUUACAUUUUUUUUUUAGACAGGUGUACACUACUACACCCAGCUAAUUUGUUUUGUUUUGUUUUGUUUUGGUAGAGAUAGGAUCUUGCUAUGGUACCCAGGCUGGUCUUCAACUCCUGGGCUCAAGCAAUCCUCCUGCAUUGGCCUCCCAAAGUGCUGGAAUUACAGGCAUGAGGCAGCACGCCCAGCCCUAAUUACUUCUAUUACGCCAAAUUCCUUGUGUGGAAUUCCUGUGCUUUGCACACAAAUUGCCAGGUUGGCCCCAAAGGGGAAAAAAGUGGAUCCCAUUUUCCCAUCUUCUAUGCCUACGUGGCUGACAAAUCUCCCGAAUCCCACAGGAGCUGUCGCUGAUCUUUGUCCUCUAUUCGCUGAAAUAAAG
This 1102-nucleotide long non-coding RNA is filed under the name Homo sapiens (human). RNAcentral describes it as "non-protein coding LINC00605:7". Lineage: Eukaryota; Metazoa; Chordata; Mammalia; Primates; Hominidae. The record is from RNAcentral.